GGGGAUAUAGUUUAAUUGGAUAAAAUACUGCCCUGUCACGGCAAUGUUCCGAGUUCAAUCCUCGGUGUCCUCG
This 73-nucleotide transfer RNA is filed under the name Salmonella phage vB_SenM_SB18. RNAcentral describes it as "tRNA-Asp". It matches the Rfam family "tRNA". Rfam says of the family: Transfer RNA (tRNA) molecules are approximately 80 nucleotides in length. Their secondary structure includes four short double-helical elements and three loops (D, anti-codon, and T loops). The record is from RNAcentral. Lineage: Duplodnaviria; Heunggongvirae; Uroviricota; Caudoviricetes; Andersonviridae. RNAcentral also lists the same sequence under 5 other names.